This 468-nucleotide ribosomal RNA is filed under the name uncultured bacterium. Its description in RNAcentral is "partial 16S ribosomal RNA". It matches the Rfam family "Bacterial small subunit ribosomal RNA", at positions 28 to 523 of the family's 1533-position model. The record is from RNAcentral.
GAUGAACGCUGGCGGCGUGCCUAACACAUGCAAGUCGAGCGAUCUUCUUCGGAAGAGAGCGGCGGACGGGUGAGUAACGCGUGGGUAACCUGCCCUGUACACACGGAUAACAUACCGAAAGGUAUGCUAAUAUGAGAUAAUAUGCUUUUAUCGCAUGGUAGAAGUAUCAAAGCUCCGGCGGUACAGGAUGGACCCGCGUCUGAUCAGCUAGUUGGUAAGGUAAUGGCUUACCAAGGCGACGAUCAGCAGCCGACCUGAGAGGGUGAUCGGCCACAUUGGAACUGAGGAACGGUCCAAACUCCUACGGGAGGCAGCAGUGGGGAAUAUUGCACAAUGGGCGAAAGCCUGAUGCAGCAACGCCGCGUGAGCGAUGAAGGCCUUCGGGUCGUAAAGCUCUGUCCUCAAGGAAGAUAAUGACGGUACUUGAGGAGGAAGCCCCGGCUAACUACGUGCCAGCCGCCGCGGUAA